Molecule: long non-coding RNA, 567 nt
Filed under: Felis catus (domestic cat)
Lineage: Eukaryota; Metazoa; Chordata; Mammalia; Carnivora; Felidae
Description: lncRNA (ENSFCAG00000040172.2)
Source: RNAcentral
AUGCAUUCAUCAGAUAUUAAUUAUACAGCUGCUCUGUGUAAGUUGAUGAUCAUAGGGCCGAGAAACACAUAUGGAGAUGGCCACAGCUGGUACGGGGUGCCACCAAAAGGUGAAGAGAAGACUCAUAAGGAGCAGGGUAAUUGGAGGAAAUGGGAAAAGCAAAAAGUUUCAAGGCUCUACAUAGAUGGAGGAUUCUCCCAGAGGGAACCUGGAUUUAAGAGCAGCUUCCAGCAGUGGACUUUGCCCCGUGGCCUGUGGAAGGCAUCAGUGUUUGGUUUGAGGAAAAUUUCUCAGGUUCCACAGGAGAAUCUCCAGUGCUCUACAACUAUUAGCCUCCUCUUGUCCACCGUACUGCUUCCUCAGAUGUUUGCAUGGGGACCUUUUACCCAAGGCAUCUCCCAUUAUAUUAAUCACCAGGUGGGUAAGUUAGGAAUGCUUAUAGUUAAUACAUAUGUUUGUGUUUGUGUUUGUGUGUAUUUUACCUGCAGAAAGGACAAUCAUUCCUUAGCUUCCCCUACCAUCUUUAUAACACUGACCAGACUUUUGUUUUUAUUUAACACUUUUUAA